GGGGCUUUGUGGUCCGGCACGAAACUGGCGGCCAUGCGGGGCUGCACCACGUUCCCGUCUUUCCCGAAGGCCGGGAUCUGCAGGGGAAGGCUGAUGACCCCCACCAGGUCGUCCAGCGGCACCAGGGAGCGCAGGAUGGCGCGGAUCCGCAGCGCUUCGCCCUUCCCCGCCUGGAUCAGGUGCAUUUCGGGGGCGCAGCGGCCCAGCAGGUCGAUGA
Molecule: long non-coding RNA, 217 nt
Filed under: Gallus gallus (chicken)
Lineage: Eukaryota; Metazoa; Chordata; Aves; Galliformes; Phasianidae
Source: RNAcentral